GAACCUGAGUUCUAAGGAGGGUACAAGAAAAAAAUCAACAUGGGUUCCAUGAUCAAAGAAGUUUGGGAAAUGGGCUAAAUGAAAGGACUUCCAAGGCCUUUUAUCUGCUAAUGAGAAAGAAAAAAGCCCUGUGAAAAACAAGCUGCUGUCCCUGCUAGAGGCAUCCUGCAAUCCGUGGAUGUUUAUCACCAAGCCAUUGUUAACAUGAGGAUCCAGUAUCUGCUGGAGGAGCCCCACCUUCUGCUACUAUUAUAUUCUUCAGAUGAGUAGAAGAGAGUGGGGAGGGAGAGAGCAGGAAGAGGAAAGGAAGAAUAAUGUCUUGAAAUUGAUGAUGCGUAUCAUAAAUUAUUACUCACCCCAUGUUUCCACCCUCGAGAUACCUCCAAACAAUCACCAUGCCACAGUGAACAUUCAGUAACAAAGAUUCAGCCAGGGUUUUCACCAGCUUGAAUGGCAGUGAUUCCAAUUAGGAAAAUAGAGAGAGGAGAGUUCAGAGCCACCCAGAAUGGCUCUUGCAAGACACGAAAUAAAGGCAGCAGCAACAGGGCUGAACAUUCCUCCUCCCUAACUCUCCCUUCACCAGUAGGAAACCCAGGAUAACUGCAAUCACUGCAGGCCAUCUGGCCUGAAGUUCUACCACUAGCAGCCCUCCAUGGGACCUUCUUAAGGAAGCAUGUCAACUCAGGUAAGGGAUGUAAGGGGAUGGAUGACCCUUUGAGACCAAAGUUGGAGCAAAAAACACCAGAUGUUCCUGUGCACUGCUCCUAAGAGAUGGUUCUGAAGAUCAGUUCAGGGAGAGGUCAAAAUACUGGACAGAAUCUCAGCAACGUGGAACCUCAAACUAAGUGACAGGCACUGACAACCCUUCCCCAAAGAAAACAAGCACAGACAUGGUUUGUGGUAAGCAGAAUUAUAAAGAUGAAUUCCCAUCUCCCUGUCAGAUUACCAAUAUGGUAAAUUACCAGAUUACCUGGUUAUUUAUUCAAACACUAAUACAGUUAUUGCCUUGAUGGAACCAUACAGAUACAAUUAAAAUCCCAAGUACCAAAUAAAUUGACCUUAAGACAAAGACUAAGUAAAUCACAUGAGCCCUCUGCAAGCAGAGAGUUUUUCUCCAGCUGGUAGCAGAA
This is a long non-coding RNA of Symphalangus syndactylus (siamang), 1130 nucleotides long. RefSeq lists it as uncharacterized. The record is from RefSeq and is a predicted model, not a curated record. Lineage: Eukaryota; Metazoa; Chordata; Mammalia; Primates; Hylobatidae.